UUGAACGCUGGCGGCAUGCCUUACACAUGCAAGUCGAACGGCAGCACGGGAGCAAUCCUGGUGGCGAGUGGCGAACGGGUGAGUAAUAUAUCGGAACGUGCCCAGUCGUGGGGGAUAACGCAGCGAAAGCUGUGCUAAUACCGCAUACGCCCUGAGGGGGAAAGUGGGGGAUCGCAAGACCUCACGUUAUUCGAGCGGCCGACGUCUGAUUAGCUAGUUGGUGAGGUAAUGGCUCACCAAGGCGACGAUCAGUAGCGGGUCUGAGAGGAUGAUCCGCCACACUGGAACUGAGACACGGUCCAGACUCCUACGGGAGGCAGCAGUGGGGAAUUUUGGACAAUGGGGGCAACCCUGAUCCAGCCAUUCCGCGUGAGUGAAGAAGGCCUUCGGGUUGUAAAGCUCUUUCAGCUGGAACGAAACGGUACGCUCUAACAUAGCGUGCUAAUGACGGUACCAGCAGAAGAAGCACCGGCUAACUACGU
This 482-nucleotide ribosomal RNA is filed under the name uncultured bacterium. Its description in RNAcentral is "bacterial SSU rRNA". It matches the Rfam family "Bacterial small subunit ribosomal RNA", at positions 30 to 506 of the family's 1533-position model. The record is from RNAcentral.